This 347-nucleotide long non-coding RNA is filed under the name Homo sapiens (human). Its description in RNAcentral is "non-protein coding lnc-SEPSECS-4:1". The record is from RNAcentral. Lineage: Eukaryota; Metazoa; Chordata; Mammalia; Primates; Hominidae.
ACCUGCUUCCGUGAGCGCGGGGAGAAGCUGGGCACAGCUCGCUUUACUCCCAGUGGAGGGCGGGAAGCAUUUUCAACUUCUUUAAUGAGAAGCAUGUUCAGCCAGCAAAGAAGAAGAAGAAAAAUGGUUAUAGACAAGCAACCAACAGUAUCUGCCAUAGCUAUUUUAUAGCUGUUUAAACUUGGGGAAAUUUGGAUACACAAAGAGAUGCCAGGGAUUAACCUACCCAGAGGAAAGGCCACGUGAGGACACAGCAAGAAGGUGGCCGUCUGCAAGCCGAGAGAGGCCUCAGAAGAAGCCAAACCUGCUGAUACCUUGGACUUCCCAGCCUCCAGAUUUGUGAGAAA